This 253-nucleotide ribosomal RNA is filed under the name uncultured bacterium. RNAcentral describes it as "partial 16S ribosomal RNA". It matches the Rfam family "Bacterial small subunit ribosomal RNA", at positions 524 to 776 of the family's 1533-position model. The record is from RNAcentral.
UACGUAGGGCGCGAGCGUUGUCCGGAAUUACUGGGCGUAAAGAGCUCGUAGGCGGCCUAUUGCGUCCGCUGUGAAAUCCCCGGGCUCAACCUGGGAAUGGCAUUCGGGACUGCAAGGCUGGAGUGCGGCAGAGGAGACUGGAAUUCCUGGUGUAGCAGUGAAAUGCGUAGAUAUCAGGAGGAAUACCGAUGGCGAAGGCAGGUCUCUGGGCUGACACUGACGCUCAUGCACGAAAGCGUGGGGAGCAAACAGG